Non-coding RNA from Coniochaeta sp. 2T2.1, 102 nucleotides. The record is from the annotation of a GenBank genome assembly. NCBI's taxonomy places the organism in Eukaryota, Fungi, Ascomycota, Sordariomycetes, Coniochaetales, Coniochaetaceae.
GCGGGUUUAGCUCAGUUGGGAGAGCGUCAGACUGAAGCCAACUUCACCACAGUGACAACAAAGUCAAUCUGAAGGUCGUGUGUUCGAUCCACACAAACCGCA